Molecule: small nucleolar RNA, 139 nt
Organism: Sinocyclocheilus anshuiensis
Lineage: Eukaryota; Metazoa; Chordata; Actinopteri; Cypriniformes; Cyprinidae
Source: Ensembl
UUAGCACUUUAACAGGUCCUGGUCUCUGUGUGGUAGACCAUGAUUUGGUGGCUGGUGCUGAAAUUAAAUCUCUCCAUCAAACAAAUACCACUGACUUUUACAGUGUGUCUGCUGGUUGUAUUUGGGAGAGAGAACAGUA